GGGACUGAAAGGCAUAGACAGCGGGCCUUCGGCUCUUGACGCAUGUCGAGCAUGAACAUAAUCUCGUUAAAAUUUGUUCAAAUGUCUAAUUGCAAAAUUAGCUUCCAAGGUGAAGGCGGCGGUCUCCCCAUACUUCGGUAUGAAUGACUUCGCUUUCGCUUCAGUGAGCGCUUCGGCGUAAGCUGACGUCUCUCUCAUAGACUUCCGAUAUAUGAGUUGAGGCGCAAUAUUAUCGGGAUUAGGAAGAGGACCGCCUCGGCUAACUUCCGAAAACACAGAGGCUCGGUUAAAAAAUAUUUGGCACGCUUAAAAAUUCUUUAACCUAAAACAAAAAGCUUGCUAAACAUGUAGAAAUCAAGGCAGAAACCUUCUGCACGGGGGCUCAUUUCCCCCCAGUUCCACAA
This is a non-coding RNA of Candidatus Nomurabacteria bacterium, 404 nucleotides long. The record is from Rfam. Lineage: Bacteria; Candidatus Nomuraibacteriota.